AGACGACCCGGAAGCGGAAGUCGAAGAAAGUUCUAGUGGCUUGAGGUAUCAGCGGGAGCGGCCGAGUAGCAAGCGCAACCGUUACUGGAGCCGGAGCUGCCUAUUAAGCUCGAUCAAGAUGACAACCUCCCAAAAGCAUCGAGACUUCGUGGCAGAGCCUAU
Molecule: non-coding RNA, 162 nt
Organism: Urocitellus parryii (Arctic ground squirrel)
Lineage: Eukaryota; Metazoa; Chordata; Mammalia; Rodentia; Sciuridae
Source: RefSeq, a predicted model, not a curated record